UACAGAGGGUGCGAGCGUUACUCGGAAUUACUGGGCGUAAAGCGUGCGUAGACGGUAGCGUAAGUCAGAUGUGAAAGCCCCGGGCUCAACCUGGGAACUGCAUUUGAGACUGCUCUGCUCGGGUGCGGAGGAGGGAAGCGGAAUUUCCGGUGUAGCGGUGAAAUGCGUAGAUAUCGGAAGGAACACCAGUGGCGAAAGCGGCUUCCUGGUCCGACACCGACGUUCAGGCACGAAAGCGUGGGGAGCAAACAGG
Molecule: ribosomal RNA, 253 nt
Filed under: uncultured bacterium
Lineage: Bacteria
Description: partial 16S ribosomal RNA
Rfam family: Bacterial small subunit ribosomal RNA
Source: RNAcentral